Molecule: ribosomal RNA, 261 nt
Filed under: uncultured bacterium
Lineage: Bacteria
Description: partial 16S ribosomal RNA
Rfam family: Bacterial small subunit ribosomal RNA
Source: RNAcentral
UACAGAGGGUGCGAGCGUUAAUCGGAAUUACUGGGCGUAAAGCGUGCGUAGGUGGUUUCUUAAGCUGGAUGUGAAAGCCCCGGGCUUAACCUGGGAACUGCGUUUGUGACUGCCAGGCUAGAGUACGGCAGAGGGGGGUGGAAUUCCACGUGUAGCAGUGAAAUGCGUAGAGAUGUGGAGGAACACCAAUGGCGAAGGCAGCCCCCUGGGUCGAUACUGACGCUCAUGCACGAAAGCGUGGGUAGCAAACAGGAUUAGAUA